RNAcentral lists this ribosomal RNA (506 nucleotides) under uncultured bacterium. RNAcentral describes it as "partial 16S ribosomal RNA". It matches the Rfam family "Bacterial small subunit ribosomal RNA", at positions 30 to 523 of the family's 1533-position model. The record is from RNAcentral.
AUUGAACGCUAGCUACAGGCUUAACACAUGCAAGUCGAGGGGCAACAAGAGAAAAGCUUGCUUUUCUUGUUGACGACCGGCGCACGGGUGAGUAACGCGUAUCCAACCUGCCUAUAACUAGGGAAUAACCUUGCGAAAGUAAGACUAAUACCCUAUGAUUUCCUUUGAUGACAUCAGAUUAGGAAUAAAGAUUUAUCGGUUAUAGAUGGGGAUGCGUCUGAUUAGCUUGUUGGCGGGGUAACGGCCCACCAAGGCAACGAUCAGUAGGGGUUCUGAGAGGAAGGUCCCCCACAUUGGAACUGAGACACGGUCCAAACUCCUACGGGAGGCAGCAGUGAGGAAUAUUGGCCAAUGGGCGGAAGCCUGAACCAGCCAAGUAGCGUGCAGGAUGACGGCCCUAUGGGUUGUAAACUGCUUUUAUACAGGGAUAAAGUUAGCCACGUGUGGUUAUUUGUAGGUACUGUAUGAAUAAGGACCGGCUAAUUCCGUGCCAGCCGCCGCAGUAA